Molecule: non-coding RNA, 264 nt
Organism: Paramuricea clavata
Lineage: Eukaryota; Metazoa; Cnidaria; Anthozoa; Malacalcyonacea; Plexauridae
Source: the annotation of a GenBank genome assembly
CACGGGAAGAUCAAUUUAUCUAAGACGAAGUAGGACCUAUUACACCAGGAAACAUGAUAUAUAAUUGCCAAAUAGCUACACUUCGGUUUAACGUGACACCACAUGGAAAAACGUCUUUGAUUUUUAUCUUGUUUCCGUUCUUAUUUUUCACUAUUUUGAGUCAAAUUCCCGCGGAUUUGCAAAAUGCGAGUCCACAAUUAUGUUAAAAAUGCUUGUCAGCGGAUGUUAAUCACGCAUUACUUAAUUUAACAAAGGCACACGCAC